Molecule: ribosomal RNA, 393 nt
Filed under: uncultured bacterium
Lineage: Bacteria
Description: partial 16S ribosomal RNA
Rfam family: Bacterial small subunit ribosomal RNA
Source: RNAcentral
AUACGGAGGAUCCGAGCGUUAUCCGGAUUUAUUGGGUUUAAAGGGAGCGUAGAUGGAUGUUUAAGUCAGUUGUGAAAGCUUGCGGCUCAACCGUAAAAUUGCAGUUGAUACUGGAUAUCUUGAGCGCAGUUGAGGCAGGCGGAAUUCGUGGUGUAGCGGUGAAAUGCUUAGAUAUCACGAAGAACUCCGAUUGCGAAGGCAGCCUGCUAAGCUGCAACUGACAUUGAGGCUCGAAAGUGUGGGUAUCAAACAGGAUUAGAUACCCUGGUAGUCCACACGGUAAACGAUGAAUACUCGCUGUUUGCGAUAUACAGCAAGCGGCCAAGCGAAAGCGUUAAGUAUUCCACCUGGGGAGUACGCCGGCAACGGUGAAACUCAAAGGAAUUGACGGGG